Molecule: ribosomal RNA, 399 nt
Filed under: Cercozoa sp.
Lineage: Eukaryota; Cercozoa
Description: partial small subunit ribosomal RNA
Rfam family: Eukaryotic small subunit ribosomal RNA
Source: RNAcentral
AUUCCAGCUCCAGUAGCGUAUAUUAAAGUUGUUGCAGUUAAAAAGCUCGUAGUUGGAUUUCUGGUUUCACAGAACUGGCCUACUUCCUCAAGGUCGUGUGCGCCGUGUUUUGUGUACCAUCCUUCUAGAAAUUGUGUUCCAUCCCUUCACUGGGGUAGAUCCGAGAUCUAGAUCUUUUACUUUGAAGAAAUUAGAGUGUUCAAAGCAGGCUCGCGCUGUGAAUACAUUAGCAUGGAAUAAUAAUUUAGGACUUGGUAUCCUAUUUUGUUGGUUUUCAGGAUCUAAGUAAUGAUUGAUAGGGAUAGUUGGGGGUGCUAGUAUUUUGCGGCCAGAGGUGAAAUUCUGUGAUUCGCGAAAGACUAACUUAUGCGAAAGCAUUCACCAAGGAUGUCUUCAUUA